UGAAGUUCACAGCAAUAGAAGGACAUAACAACCCAGAGGAGAGGAGAAGAGAUGCAGAAAAAAAAACUGACAGCAGCUUUCUCCAUAAAUUAAGCAUCCAGUUGUGAUAAAAGAAGAUGGGCAAUCAUAGAGAUGGCAUCUCACUAUGUUGCCCACACUGGUCUCGAACUCCUGGCCUCAAGUCAUCCUCCCACCUCAGCUUCUCAAAGUGCUGGUAUUACAGGCAUGAGCCACAGCGCCCAGCUGUGUAAUAACCAUAUCAGUCAGGAGGUUGUUGAAGUGGUCCAGCCAACAGUGAAGAAAGCCUGAACUGAAGUAAUAAGACUGAACAGAGGGAACAAUGUAAACAGAAAAGAGACACAACACCCAAAAUGUGAGGUUAUUACCAAGAAAGAGAAGUGAUACAAGUUGAAGACAGACUCCACUUAAGCCACAAAUUUAUCCUAGAGCCAAACCUGUUUCUGGCUGUUGUUCUAGAUGAAAGAAAAAGGCUCAAUGCAGCAGUAUGGAAGUGUAUUGCAACCGUGAAUGACAAUGGAGA
Gorilla gorilla gorilla (western lowland gorilla) is the source of this 541-nucleotide long non-coding RNA. RefSeq lists it as uncharacterized. Lineage: Eukaryota; Metazoa; Chordata; Mammalia; Primates; Hominidae. The transcript has 4 exons. The record is from RefSeq and is a predicted model, not a curated record.